RNAcentral lists this long non-coding RNA (1416 nucleotides) under Fragaria vesca (wild strawberry). RNAcentral's name for it is "long non-coding RNA (FVES_LNC001950)". The record is from RNAcentral. Lineage: Eukaryota; Viridiplantae; Streptophyta; Magnoliopsida; Rosales; Rosaceae.
UGGUAUUGUAAACUUCAUAUAUCCCUCUAUAUACGUACCAAAUUUCGUUAGUUUUGGGUUACUUUUGGAAUGUGAAAAUCCUUGCCCAAAUCUGUCACUUACACAGCUAUAUCUGUUUUUACUGGUGCAUAUCAGUAGACUUUCGAAAUUCAUAACUAUUUCUAGAAAAAUCAUUUUCAGGUGAUUCAACUUCUAAGAUCUUCAUUAGGAUGUCUAGUUUAUUUCCUUAGAAGACCACGAAGUUAAAUUCUUUAUGGUUUUACCUUGAUUCCAUUGUGAAAGGGACUGGGUCAGGAAACUGUUUUGGUACUAGUUGUGUUAAGAUGGAUUACUUGUGGUUUACUUCGAAUCCUUUGUUUGUUAAAGUGUCCAGACAGUNNNNNNNNNNNNNNNNNNNNUUUGGUCUUGUCUCUGUGUAAGGUAGGAUUCUCAUCCCUUUGGUAUUUUCGAAUUCAGUUCUUGAGAUAUCAAUUACCUUGAUCCUUGAUUCUUAUUUUUGUUCAAUUAUAUGUUUCCUAUGAUUAAUUAUACAGUAGUAUUUGGACUUCGAAUUCACAGACCUGGUUAGAUAUCAGAGUUAGUUAGAAUUUCAUUUUGUUUUGUUUAGAAGUCGUAGUGAUUGCAGCUCUAAAAGAAUGGUGUUCUUGAGAUGUUCUUGAGUUGGGUGUCCAAAUCAGAUUUUGGAUCUUUUUGAUUCAUUGUUGGUUGUGUUUAGGAACAUCUUAGAGCUCUGGAAAUGUUGUCUAACUAUUUUGAAGCUUUAUAAUCUCUUUUACUACUCCAUAAAUCGAAUCAAAGUCUUCAAAUUCGAAAUUUCGUGUUGCUGGAAAUUUUCCAGAAAAGUGCAGAAAACCAUGAUUUCGGACCAACUUUACAACAUCAUAACUUUUAGCUCAGUUCUUUGUUUUCGAUUCCAAAAGUGGUAUUGUAAACUUCAUAUAUCCCUUUAUAUACGUACCAAAUUUCGUUAGUUUUGGGUUACUUUUGGUAUGUGAAAAUUCUUGCCCAAAUCUGUCACUUACACAGCUAUAUCUGUUUUUACUGGUGCAUAUCAGUAGACUUUCGAAAUUCAUAACUAUUUCUAGAAAAAUCAUUUUCAGGUGAAUCAACUUCUAAGAUCUUCAUUAGGAUGUCUAGUUUAUUUCCUUAGAGGACCACGAAGUUAAAAUUCUUUAUGGUUUUACCUAGAUUCCAUUGUGAAAGGGACUGGGUCAGGAAACUGUUUUGGUACUAGUUGUGUUAAGAUGGAUUACUUGUGGUUUACUUCGAAUCCUUUGUUUGUUAAAGUGUCCAGACAGUAAAUUGCUUAAUGUUACGACAUUAAGUUAUAUUUUUUUGGCAAUUGAAAGUUCCUUGUGUUGAGUUGCUUUAAGGUAGUUACUAACUUUGUAUGUACUUUACCAUUUGGUAAGGUUC